GCCCGGUUAGCUCAGCCGGUAGAGCGUUGGACUUUUAUUCCAACGGUCAAGGGUUCAAGUUCCUCAUCGGGCU
This is a non-coding RNA of Ciona savignyi (Pacific transparent sea squirt), 73 nucleotides long. Lineage: Eukaryota; Metazoa; Chordata; Ascidiacea; Phlebobranchia; Cionidae. The record is from Rfam.